GAUGAACGCUGGCGGCGUGCCUAAUACAUGCAAGUCGAGCGAACAGAUAAGGAGCUUGCUCCUUUGACGUUAGCGGCGGACGGGUGAGUAACACGUGGGUAACCUACCUAUAAGACUGGGAUAACUUCGGGAAACCGGAGCUAAUACCGGAUAAUAUUUCGAACCGCAUGGUUCGAUAGUGAAAGAUGGUUUUGCUAUCACUUAUAGAUGGACCCGCGCCGUAUUAGCUAGUUGGUAAGGUAACGGCUUACCAAGGCGACGAUACGUAGCCGACCUGAGAGGGUGAUCGGCCACACUGGAACUGAGACACGGUCCAGACUCCUACGGGAGGCAGCAGUAGGGAAUCUUCCGCAAUGGGCGAAAGCCUGACGGAGCAACGCCGCGUGAAUGAUGAAGGUCUUCGGAUCGUAAAACUCUGUUAUUAGGGAAGAACAUACGUGUAAGUAACUGUGCACGUCUUGACGGUACCUAAUCAGAAAGCCACGGCUAACUACGUG
This 497-nucleotide ribosomal RNA is filed under the name uncultured bacterium. RNAcentral describes it as "partial 16S ribosomal RNA". It matches the Rfam family "Bacterial small subunit ribosomal RNA", at positions 28 to 507 of the family's 1533-position model. The record is from RNAcentral.